Molecule: ribosomal RNA, 372 nt
Filed under: uncultured bacterium
Lineage: Bacteria
Description: bacterial SSU rRNA
Rfam family: Bacterial small subunit ribosomal RNA
Source: RNAcentral
GGAUUGUAAACUUCUUUUGUCAGGGACGAAGAAAGUGACGGUACCUGACGAAUAAGCUCCGGCUAACUACGUGCCAGCAGCCGCGGUAAUACGUAGGGAGCGAGCGUUGUCCGGAUUUACUGGGUGUAAAGGGUGCGUAGGCGGCCGAGCAAGUCAGUUGUGAAAACUAUGGGCUUAACCCAUAACGUGCAAUUGAAACUGUCCGGCUUGAGUGAAGUAGAGGUAGGCGGAAUUCCCGGUGUAGCGGUGAAAUGCGUAGAGAUCGGGAGGAACACCAGUGGCGAAGGCGGCCUACUGGGCUUUAACUGACGCUGAGGCACGAAAGCAUGGGUAGCAAACAGGAUUAGAUACCCUGGUAGUCCAUGCCGUAAA